GACGAACGCUGGCGGCGUGCCUAAUACAUGCAAGUAGAACGCUGAAGCGAGGAGCUUGCUCUUCUUGGAUGAGUUGCGAACGGGUGAGUAACGCGUAGGUAACCUGCCUGGUAGCGGGGGAUAACUAUUGGAAACGAUAGCUAAUACCGCAUAAAAUGGAUUAUCGCAUGAUAAUCCAUUGAAAGGUGCAAAUGCAUCACUACCAGAUGGACCUGCGUUGUAUUAGCUAGUUGGUGGGGUAACGGCUCACCAAGGCGACGAUACAUAGCCGACCUGAGAGGGUGAUCGGCCACACUGGGACUGAGACACGGCCCAGACUCCUACGGGAGGCAGCAGUAGGGAAUCUUCGGCAAUGGACGGAAGUCUGACCGAGCAACGCCGCGUGAGUGAAGAAGGUUUUCGGAUCGUAAAGCUCUGUUGUAAGAGAAGAACGAGUGUGAGAGUGGAAAGUUCACACUGUGACGGUAUCUUACCAGAAAGGGACGGCUAACUACGUG
RNAcentral lists this ribosomal RNA (497 nucleotides) under uncultured bacterium. Its description in RNAcentral is "partial 16S ribosomal RNA". It matches the Rfam family "Bacterial small subunit ribosomal RNA", at positions 28 to 507 of the family's 1533-position model. The record is from RNAcentral.